GCCCCGUAGCUCAGCUGGAUAGAGCAACGGACUUCUAAUCCGUAGGUCGCAGGUUCGAAUCCUGCCGGGCGCGCCA
This 76-nucleotide transfer RNA is filed under the name Planctomycetales bacterium. RNAcentral's name for it is "tRNA-Arg". It matches the Rfam family "tRNA". From Rfam's summary of the family: Transfer RNA (tRNA) molecules are approximately 80 nucleotides in length. Their secondary structure includes four short double-helical elements and three loops (D, anti-codon, and T loops). Lineage: Bacteria; Pseudomonadati; Planctomycetota; Planctomycetia; Planctomycetales. The record is from RNAcentral.